AUUGAACGCUGGCGGCAUGCCCUACACAUGCAAGUCGAACGGCAGCACGGGAGCAAUCCUGGUGGCGAGUGGCGAACGGGUGAGUAAAGUAUCGGAACGUGCCCAGUCGUGGGGGAUAACGUAGCGAAAGUUACGCUAAUACCGCAUACGAUCUAUGGAUGAAAGCGGGGGAUCGCAAGACCUCGCGCGAUUGGAGCGGCCGAUAUCAGAUUAGGUAGUUGGUGGGGUAAAGGCUCACCAAGCCGACGAUAUGUAUCUGGUCUGAGAGGACGACCAGCAACACUGGGACUGAGACACGGCCCAGACUCCUACGGGAGGCAGCAGUGGGAAUUUUGGACAAUGGGCGAAAGCCUGAUCCAGCCAUGCCGCGUGCAGGAUGAAGGCCUUCGGGUUGUAAACUGCUUUUGUACGGAACGAAAAGGUUUGGCCUAAUAAGCUGAGCUCAUGACGGUACCGUAAGAAUAAGCACCGGCUAACUACGUGCCAGCAGCCGCCGCCG
Molecule: ribosomal RNA, 499 nt
Filed under: uncultured bacterium
Lineage: Bacteria
Description: partial 16S ribosomal RNA
Rfam family: Bacterial small subunit ribosomal RNA
Source: RNAcentral